Molecule: ribosomal RNA, 465 nt
Filed under: uncultured bacterium
Lineage: Bacteria
Description: SSU rRNA
Rfam family: Bacterial small subunit ribosomal RNA
Source: RNAcentral
AGGAUUAACGCUGGCGGCGUGCCUAACACAUGCAAGUCGAACGAGGUAGCAAUACCUAGUGGCAGACGGGUGAGUAGCGCGUGGUCAACCUACCGUUGAGUGGGGGAUAACUAGCCGAAAGGUUAGCUAAUACCGCAUACGUCUCCGAGGGGCAUCCCUUGGCGAUAAAAAGGAGCAAUCCGCUCGAUGACGGGACCGCGUCCCAUUAGCUAGUUGGUGGGGUAACGCCUACCAAGGCAUCGAUGGGUAGCUGGUUUGAGAGAGCGACCAGCCACACUGGGACUGAGAUACGGCCCAGACUCCUACGGGAGGCAGCAGUGAGGAAUUUUUCCGCAAUGGGCGAAAAGCCUGACGGAGCGACGCCGCGUGUGGGAAGAAGGCCUUCGGGUCGUAAACCACUGUCGAAGGGGAAGAUAAUGACGGUACCCUUGGAGGAAGCCCGGCUAACUACGCGCCAGCAGCCGC